RNAcentral lists this long non-coding RNA (565 nucleotides) under Homo sapiens (human). RNAcentral describes it as "HSALNT0203637". Lineage: Eukaryota; Metazoa; Chordata; Mammalia; Primates; Hominidae. The record is from RNAcentral.
CUUGGAGGGAGAGAAAUGGAGGGUGCCUGAGGGGGAUGUGCUAAAGCCAAAGCACAUUUGCCCCCUCCCAGCGGGUAGGGGAGUGGUGGAGGCGGAGCACAGAGGUGUGGCCUGUCAGAGAAGGCGUUGUUACGACAGCACAGAGAGUACGGCCCUAGGAGCAGGACCCUGCACACAGCUGAGCUCAGAGGCUCCAGUCUGGCCACGAGAAUGCAAUGGGAGGUAUUCUUCAUUGAUCUUACUCGAAGUUGAGAACAUGUAUUUUGACUCUGAGAAAUGUUUGGAGGUCAACUGCAGUGAGGUCUCUAUACCACAGAGUGUUGUUGGCGUCUCACAUGGCCAUUCAUCAGCUCAAUACAAACAAGUCUUCACGGAGGUGGAGUUUCCUCCUCACCUGUUGCUAAACCAGGCAGCGUGGAUUGGCAUAUUCACUGACUUCAUGGCACGAAGGCCUACAAAAGCGGAACAACUUUUCACCAGUGCAAAAAUGUUCCAAAAGAUACUCUCUCUGUCCAAUACACUUAAAGAAAGACAGGAAAGUUCGGAGGCUCCACACGUACUAAAU